AACAAAUGGCUAGCUUUUUGGGAUUUUCUCUCUUUAAUCGAUAUAUAUGAUGGUGCAAUGUAUAUGACUGAUAAAAUGAUCAAGGCUUGGUUGAUUUGUAUUGAUUUUAGUCACAUGGGAUAUCCGGGGUUGGUGAACAACCAAGAUAUAGCAAGAUUUGCAAGCUACUUAUUAAAGAAUGUGAGAAAGGGCAUUUUGGUCCAUUUGCUUACCAUUUUAAUGACAAUCUUGUAAACUUAUCCCAACCCUUAAGGUUUAACCCUUAGGGUUU
This 271-nucleotide long non-coding RNA is filed under the name Panax ginseng (ginseng). RNAcentral's name for it is "long non-coding RNA (PGIN_LNC013845)". The record is from RNAcentral. Lineage: Eukaryota; Viridiplantae; Streptophyta; Magnoliopsida; Apiales; Araliaceae.